UUCGGUCCCCGGUAGAGCGGCGAACGGGUGAGUAACACGUGGGUAACCUGUCUGAGAGUGGGGGAUAACCUGGGGAAACUCGGGCUAAUACCGCAUACGUCCACCGGGCUUCGGCUCGGUGAGGAAAGGUGGCCUCUGCUUGCAAGCCACCACUCACAGAGGGGCCCGCGUCUGAUUAGCUAGUUGGCGGGGUAACGGCCCACCAAGGCGACGAUCAGUAGCCGGCCUGAGAGGGCGAUCGGCCACACUGGAACUGAGACACGGUCCAGACUCCUACGGGAGGCAGCAGUGAGGAAUCUUGCGCAAUGGGGGAAACCCUGACGCAGCAACGCCGCGUGGAGGAUGAAGGCCUUCGGGUCGUAAACUCCUGUCAGAUGGGACGAAGGCUUGCGGGCGAAUAGUCCGUAAGCUUGACGGUACCAUCAGAGGAAGCCCCGGCUAACUCUGUGCCAGCAGCCGCGGUAAUACAGAGGGGGCGAGCGUUAUUCGGAAUUAUUGGGCGUAAAGGGCGCGUAGGCGGCUUGACAAGUCCAAGGUGAAAUCCCUCGGCUCAACCGAGGAACUGCCUUGGAAACUGUCUGGCUUGAGGCCGGGAGAGGGUAGUGGAAUUCCCAGUGUAGCGGUGAAAUGCGUAGAUAUUGGGAGGAACACCGGUGGCGAAGGCGGCUACCUGGACCGGAUCUGA
This 685-nucleotide ribosomal RNA is filed under the name uncultured Acidobacteriota bacterium. Its description in RNAcentral is "bacterial SSU rRNA". It matches the Rfam family "Bacterial small subunit ribosomal RNA", at positions 79 to 743 of the family's 1533-position model. The record is from RNAcentral. Lineage: Bacteria; Pseudomonadati; Acidobacteriota.